Pseudophryne corroboree (corroboree frog) is the source of this 628-nucleotide long non-coding RNA. RefSeq lists it as uncharacterized. NCBI's taxonomy places the organism in Eukaryota, Metazoa, Chordata, Amphibia, Anura, Myobatrachidae. The record is from RefSeq and is a predicted model, not a curated record. The transcript is spliced from 4 exons.
AACUGCUCUAGAAUAUUAGUUUGGGGUGUGUUGAUUACAUACAUUAUGAUAUACUCGUUGAAACAAUUAGUACUUUCAUCCUCAGUGACAAUAACAUUACUUUUCCUCAGUGUAGUGUGACUGGGCUAGGGAGGUUAUUGGAAAUGUCAUAUAUAAAGCAAUAACAUCAGCAGUGUAAGGAUGCUUAUAGUUAUAUAAAAUGUAUUCAAUGCAGACAACACUACAAGACUGUACUCCAGGAUGUCCAAUAGAGGGCAGACUAGUGACAGACCAAGUACAACAUCCUUCUCUUCUCUAAUCACCACCGGCAGUAUACAAGACACUACAGUACUGCACUCCAGGAUGUCCAGUAGAGGGCAGACUAGUGACAGACCAAGUGCAACAUCUUCCUCUUCUCCCAUAACCACCACCGACAGUAGACAAGACAACACUACAGGACUGCACUCCAGGAUGUCCAAUAGAGGGCAGACUUGUGACAGACCAAGUAAAACAUCCUUCUCUUCUCUAAUUACCACCGGCAGUAUACAAGACACUACAGUACUGCACUCCAGGAUGUCCAGUAGAGGGCAGACUAGUGACAGACCAAGUGCAACAUCUUCCUCUUCUCCCAUAACCACCACCGACAGUA